Portunus trituberculatus (swimming crab) is the source of this 102-nucleotide long non-coding RNA. RefSeq lists it as uncharacterized. The record is from RefSeq and is a predicted model, not a curated record. The transcript is spliced from 2 exons. Lineage: Eukaryota; Metazoa; Arthropoda; Malacostraca; Decapoda; Portunidae.
UGUGACCCGAGAGGAGGUGGCCACUCAACGCUGAGGUCACACGGCUCUCUUCCUUAUGCAGGAAAGUCAAGUCCCUGAAUGCUGCCAAGGAGACACACUGCU